Molecule: ribosomal RNA, 484 nt
Filed under: uncultured bacterium
Lineage: Bacteria
Description: partial 16S ribosomal RNA
Rfam family: Bacterial small subunit ribosomal RNA
Source: RNAcentral
AUUGAACGCUGGCGGCAGGCCUAACACAUGCAAGUCGAGCGGAUGAAGGGAGCUUGCUCCUGGAUUCAGCGGCGGACGGGUGAGUAAUGCCUAGGAAUCUGCCCGGCAGUGGGGGAUAACGUCCGGAAACGGGCGCUAAUACCGCAUACGUCCUGAGGGAGAAAGUGGGGGAUCUUCGGACCUCACGCUAUCAGAUGAGCCUAGGUCGGAUUAGCUAGUUGGUGGGGUAAAGGCCUACCAAGGCGACGAUCCGUAACUGGUCUGAGAGGAUGAUCAGUCACACUGGAACUGAGACACGGUCCAGACUCCUACGGGAGGCAGCAGUGGGGAAUAUUGGACAAUGGGCGAAAGCCUGAUCCAGCCAUGCCGCGUGUGUGAAGAAGGUCUUCGGAUUGUAAAGCACUUUAAGUUGGGAGGAAGGGCAGUAAGUUAAUACCUUGCUGUUUUGACGUUACCAACAGAAUAAGCACCGGCUAACUUCGUG